GCGCAGCAGGCGAGAAACCUUUACAAUGCACGAAAGUGCGAUAAGGGGAUCCCAAGUGCCAAUACUCUGUAUUGGCUUUUGCUGAGAGUAAAAAUCUCGGCGAAUAAGUGAUGGGUAAGACUGGUGCCAGCCGCCGCGGUAACACCAGCGUCACGAGUGGCGCCCACUUUUAUUGGGUCUAAAGCGUCCGUAGCCGGGUCUGUAAGUCCUCUGUGAAAUCGUUAGGCCUAACCUAACGGAUAGCAGAGGAGACUGCCGACCUAGACGGACCGGGGAGGA
Molecule: ribosomal RNA, 279 nt
Filed under: uncultured microorganism
Description: partial 16S ribosomal RNA
Rfam family: Archaeal small subunit ribosomal RNA
Source: RNAcentral